UGGGGAAUAUUGGGCAAUGGGCGAAAGCCUUACCCAGCAACGCCGCGUGAGGGAAGAAGGUUUUCGGAUUGUAAGCCUCUGUCCUGGGGGACGAAGGAAGUGACGGUACCCCGGGAGGAAGCCCCGGCUAACUACGUGCCAGCAGCCGCGGUAAUACGUAGGGGGCGAGCGUUGUCCGGAAUUAUUGGGCGUAAAGGGCGCGUAGACGGCCGAGUAAGUUAUAGGUGAAAGCCCAUCUUUCAAGGAUGGAAUUGCCUGUAAUACUGCCUGGCUUGAGUGCAGGAGAGGGAAGCGGAAUUCCUAGUGUAGCGGUGAAAUGCGUAGAUAUUAGGAGGAACACCAGUGGCGAAGGCGGCCUUCUGGACUGUAACUGACGUUGAGGCGCGAAAGCGUGGGGAGCAAACAGGAUUAGAUACC
This 417-nucleotide ribosomal RNA is filed under the name uncultured bacterium. Its description in RNAcentral is "bacterial SSU rRNA". It matches the Rfam family "Bacterial small subunit ribosomal RNA", at positions 355 to 786 of the family's 1533-position model. The record is from RNAcentral.